Molecule: ribosomal RNA, 253 nt
Filed under: uncultured bacterium
Lineage: Bacteria
Description: partial 16S ribosomal RNA
Rfam family: Bacterial small subunit ribosomal RNA
Source: RNAcentral
UACGGAGGGCGCAAGCGUUGUUCGGAAUUACUGGGCGUAAAGCGCGUGUAGGCGGUUUGGUAAGUCGGGUGUGAAAUCCCCGGGCUCAACCCGGGAACUGCAUCCGAAACUGCUUGGCUAGAGUCCCGGAGAGGAAGGCAGAAUUCCCGGUGUAGGGGUGAAAUCCGUAGAUAUUGGGAGGAACACCAGUGGCGAAGGCGGCCCCCUGGACGGUGACUGACGCUGAGACGCGAAAGCGUGGGGAGCAAACAGG